AUGCUUAACACAUGCAAGUCGAACGGAAACGAUGGUAGCUUGCUACCAGGCGUCGAGCGGCGGACGGGUGAGUAACGCGUGAGAAUCUGCCCAUUUGUGGGGGAUAACUCGGGGAAACUCGAGCUAAUACCGCAUAAUCCCUACGGGGGAAAGCAGGGGACCUUCGGGCCUUGUGCAGAUGGAUGAGCUCGCGUCGGAUUAGCUUGUUGGUGAGGUAAAGGCUCACCAAGGCGACGAUCCGUAGCUGGUCUGAGAGGAUGAUCAGCCACACCGGGACUGAGACACGGCCCGGACUCCUACGGGAGGCAGCAGUGGGGAAUCUUGGACAAUGGGGGCAACCCUGAUCCAGCCAUGCCGCGUGUGUGAAGAAGGCCUUCGGGUUGUAAAGCACUUUCAGUAGGGAGGAAGGCUUACCGCUAAUAACGGUGAGUACUUGACGUUACCUACAGAAGAAGCACCGGCUAAUUUCGUGCCAGCAGCCGCGGUAAUACGAAAGGUGCGAGCGUUAAUCGGAAUUACUGGGCGUAAAGCGCGCGUAGGCGGUUUGUUAAGUCAGAUGUGAAAGCCCCGGGCUCAACCUGGGAAUUGCAUUCGAAACUGGCAGGCUAGAGUGCAGUAGAGGGAGGUGGAAUUUCCGGUGUAGCGGUGAAAUGCGUAGAGAUCGGAAGGAACACCAGUGG
This 680-nucleotide ribosomal RNA is filed under the name uncultured bacterium. RNAcentral describes it as "bacterial SSU rRNA". It matches the Rfam family "Bacterial small subunit ribosomal RNA", at positions 44 to 715 of the family's 1533-position model. The record is from RNAcentral.